Molecule: ribosomal RNA, 253 nt
Filed under: uncultured bacterium
Lineage: Bacteria
Description: partial 16S ribosomal RNA
Rfam family: Bacterial small subunit ribosomal RNA
Source: RNAcentral
UACGUAGGGGGCAAGCGUUGUCCGGAUUUAUUGGGCGUAAAGAGCGUGUAGGCGGUUCGGUAGGUCCGUUGUGAAAACUCGAGCUCAACCUCGAGACGCCGAUGGAAACCCCCGAACUAGAGUCCGGAAGAGGAGAGUGGAAUUCCUGGUGUAGCGGUGAAAUGCGCAGAUAUCGGGGAGGAACACCGGUGGCGAAGGCGGUUCUCUGGGCCUUACCUGACGCUGAGGAGCGAAAGCGUGGGGAGCGAACAGG